UUUGAUACCCCUGACGGCUACUUCUACGCUGUCAUGGACUGCUUCUGUGAGAAGACAUGGAGCCACACCAAGCAGUACUCCAUCGGUUACUGCCAGCAGUGCCCCGACAAGGUCAAGUGGCCCAUCGACGACCAGCGGUUCGGGAACCCCCCACCUCUGUAUUUCAACGCCGGCAUGUUCGUUUACGAGCCCAGCAAGCUCACCUAUGACUCCCUCCUCGAAACCCUCCAGAUAACCCCACCAACACCCUUCGCCGAACAGGUAUCCCAUCUCACACACACUCACUCUCACUUCCCGAUCGAAUAAACAUUCUUUUAAACACCGAUUAGAAUCCCUCAUGAUCAUUUCCAGUUAAAUGAAAAGUUCAUAGCACCAACGUUUUAUAUAAUAAUGGUAGUGAUUGUAAUUGUUGUUGUUUACAAUAACUAGGACUUCCUGAACAUGUUCUUCCAACAUACUUACAAGCCCAUCCCCCUGAUCUACAACCUGGUGCUCGCCAUGUUGUGGCGCCACCCCGAGAAUGUGGAGCUCGAAAACGUCAAGGUCGUCCACUACUGCGCUGCCGUAAGUUCCUCUUCCCUCUCUUCUCUGCACUAAUCAUAAACGAAGCUGCAAGGAUUAACUAUAACAACGAUAAUUCUUGUCAUUUUUUUCUUCUGAGGAGUUAAUGUAUGAUUUAUUAAUUUUCCAAAAUUGAUAAUUUCGUGCUCCAUAGACGGAGCCAGCUCCACGAAAGGUAUAUUUGGCCCUCUGCAAAAGGAGUUGGUUCAAACAAAUUUAGAACCAAAUGAUCCAAAAUAUUGGAAUCAAAUCACUUUAAGGAAGGAGAAUCCAUUUUUUUUAAUCAUAAUGCAAAGUAUGUCGUUAAAAACUUCCUUAUCACUAUUAUUGUCUUUAAUGACAUUAGUACCUUUACUAAAAACAUUAAUAAAGAUGAUAGUGAUGGCUACUAUGAUGAUGCAUGGCGAGGUGGGGAAAACGGGCUCUAGGUAGAGGUGGUCAAAAUGAAAUGGAGGGUGUCAGAUCGUGACGUUUAGGUUUCAUUCUCACAGGAAUCUUAAGUUGCCAUUAAUAAAUAAAUAAAUAAAUGAGUGGUAUGGAGGAGGUUAUCGAGGAUGAAUGAUAUCAAGAUGAAAUACUAGAAAUAUCUAUCUUCAAUUGUGCACCGACCUUCACAAAAGUUUCUAUUCUUUUCAUAAUAUGAUUUUUUUUUUUGCUAUCGUCAUCGACAUUUGUUAUUCGUCUAAAAGUAGACAAAUCAUUUUGGGUCUCUUGGACCGUGGUGUAGCUUUAUUCUCUUUUGUGAAAAAGUUCUGAAAACCACUUUCUUUGUGUGUUAGUUGAUUAGGUUCUCAUGAGGGAGAAAAAGGCAGAAUCCUCAGCCGUAGGAAUGGGAAUGGGUCGGAUCUGCUUGACCAAUGCUCUAGAAUCUAAUAAAAAUAUUUUAUAAAAUAUUUAAAAACAUAUUUCAAAUAUAUAUGUAUAGGCAAAUUUAUCAAAAUAUUAUAUAUUACAAUAUAUGUGUGUGUGGUCAAGUUGACCUAUACUCAGACCCGACCUGGAUCCAAGUCCCGUCCAGGGUUUUGGACUCGGACCUGAACCAUUGGUUCCAAAACUUGGACCCGGACUUAAAUCGGAACAACCUAUCGGGUUGUUGGGUCGACCCGACCCGAUUACCACCCCUACUCAGUCUUCUCAUGCUAAGGGUGGCAACAGACAGGGCCUAAGCCGGCCAGCCUUNNNNNNNNNNNNNNNNNNNNNNNNNNNNNNNNNNNNNNNNNNNNNNNNNNNNNNNNNNNNNNNNNNNNNNNNNAUGGUUGGCCAGGUCGAACGGGGUCAACACUGCCCUAGACCUGCCCUCAGGUUAUAGUUUGUAGCCUAUGCCCUAUCUCAUGCGAACCAUGUCAUACCAAUAGACCAAAGGCCCAUGCCCUAUCUCAUGCGAACCAUGUCAUACCAAUAGAACAAAGGCCUCAAGGCUCAUCCUCAUCUUUGUAUUCCUUCUCUUUUUUCCACCUUCUCCCCUUGCAUUAUUUUUUCCCUCAUUACCCUUUUCUUCUUUUUGCACCUCCUCAUCUUAACAUUAUUUCUCUCACAUUCCCCAAUUUUGUCCUUUACUUUUCUUUUAUUCUAACUUCUUAUUGUCCUUAUCUUUUCCUUCUUCCUUUUGGGCAACAGGGCUCUAAGCCAUGGAGGUACACAGGCAAGGAGGCAAACAUGGAGAGGGAAGACAUCAAAAUGCUAGUCCAAAAGUGGUGGGAUAUCUACGAUGAUGAAUCUCUGGACUUCAAGGAAGAGGACUCAAUCCCAGAGGCUGAGAGCUUGAGCAAGCCAUCAAUCAUGGCUUCAAUGCCAGAACCAGCUAUCUCCUUCAUCCCUGCCCCCUCUGCUGCUUAAGAUGCCAUAACCAUCAUCUCGUUAUCCUUGGAUCUCAACUCUCCACCUUCAUCUCUACCCCAUGUGUGAUCAAGCUGUUAGGCUGCAACAUAGCUAAAUCCUUAGUGUGUUUAAUCUCACCAGUAUAUAAUUCUGAAGACUUUGUAUUUUGAGGUGGUUGUAAUUACCAUUUGGAAUUUAAAAGUCUUUUAUAUUAAAAUAAUUACUUCUCUUUAGAAUUUGGAUCUAAUAAUGAUGCAAAUGAGUUGGGAAAGAAGUCACUUCUAGCAGUUGGUUGGACAAUGUGUUGAAGUACAUUAUGCAACGAACUAAUAAAACUUGAAAAAAAAAAGUUUUGAGAGAGAAGUCAUUCUGAGAAACAAAGUUUGAGGGAGAAAUGAUCUGAGUUUAUAAAUUCUGAUUACAAAAUCAGUUUGAAAUAUAUUACUAAUAAUAAGAGAAAUUUAUCAAAUCACAGCUAAGAGUUGAGCUAUUUAACAUCUCAUCGGUCCUUUGAUCAGUUGUUUUUAUUUGAUUUCCCAUAGCCCAUCAAAUUGCUCGCAAUUUUCUCAAUUCACACCUUGGGUGAAAUGUUAAAUAAUUGAACUCUUGGAUGCGAUUUGAUAAAUACUAUUGAUGAUGAUGAUAACAACAAUGGUGGACUCAAAAAAAAAAAUAAUUGGAAGAGAAAUAACAGAAGAAACUAAAAAAAAGAUGGGAGCAAGGAUAACUCAAUAUUCGCCUUGAAACUUGCUUGGAUAUGCCAAUCCAGUUCCUUCACAUUGAGAAUAAGUUACUAUUGUAAACAAAGUUCACACACCAUUAAAUGAUCCAAUAAACUAGAAUAGAAUUAGAAGGCUUUGGGUUUCAUUCCAUCGUGUCCCUCCCAAACACUAUGAACCUUUCAUGUAGUUUCCAGUCCUUCAUGCUUUCAAUCAGGGUUUCAGUAACCGGACAGGCCUUUCAGAAAUCUAGUUUGAAUUGGCGAACCUAUAUGAAUCCUUGGUGUAAGAAUAGGUCGCAAAAGAGACUAAAUAAUGAUUUUGAAAAAAUCAAUUACUAAAAAAUAAUACAAAAUAAAAUGAGUGGGAACCAAAUGUUUUGGUUUAUCUAGACAGUCCAGUUUCAUAAUAGACUCACCCGAUUCUCAUGGACAUAUUCCCAGGUAGGUCGGUCCCAAUAAUUCCCAGUCCUAAUCAUCGAUCUUUUCAACACUACCAAAUGUGGUCCGAGGCAAUCACUAUCCAAGGAGAAGUGCUUUUGUCCACCUCUCUCGCAAAUACAAUUAAGUCAAAGAACAACGUAAACCAGAAGUAGAAGCUGCUAAGAAGAAACCAGGAUUUCAAUGGAAACUUCUAGAAAACAAGAAGAAAGAAAUAUGAUUGCUCAUGAAACAUGAUUGCUCAAAAGAGUAUUGACUUAAAAUGUUGCUUGACAAUGAAUAAUAUACGCAUGUCUAUCUGGCCCAAAAGCGUUUAGCAUAACCCUAAGUACGGGUGGCAUGGGUCGGGUGGCUGGUCAGCCUGAUCGUAAAAACCUAGGGCCAGAACCACAACAUGUGGCCCGAGGGAUGGACUUGGGCUAGGCCAAGACAGGCCCGGCCCAGUUAAAAUAUAAUAAACGUAUUAGUCAUAUCCUCAAUGUUCCAAUACAAUGCAUCUCUCACGAAGAAUGUACUAGUAUAUAUUCCGGAUUCAUUAGAAGUUUUGGCAAUGUUUUACGUUAGCUGCCUAUCUAAUAAAACCCAUCCCUUUUACUCGAGCUGGGACAGGUUAAAGAAAAGUUUAAGGUCAUCACAUUUCUUAAACCUGUGAUAAUUAUAAUUAUAAUAGUUAUGUGUAGUUAUAAUAAUAACAUAAUGGUAUUAUAAUUGUAGUUAAUUAUGUUAUAAUAUAUAAUUAAUUUAGAAAAAAUUACAUACAUAUCCGUUAUACUUUACGUUAUUACGGUUAUGCCUAAUAGUUUCCGUUAUUACUCAUCUGUCCGUUUUUUAUCUUCUAUAAUGUUUUUUUUAAAAAAAGAUACUUUUGCCCUUUUCGGAUGUUCAACAUCCAAUUUUGGGAAAAAUUUCGCAUGUUCAACAUCUGAAAACAAUCGCGGCUACAAUAGUGACUUUUCUCAAUUUCGGAUGAUUUUCACAUAUUCGGAUGUUGAACAUCCAAACUUCUAAGAAUUUUGGAUGUUGAACAUCUGUAAUUCUGAGAAUUUCGGAUUUUAAACAUCCGAAAUUAUGAGAAUUUUAGAUGUUCAACAUCCGAAAUAUUGCGAGCCAACAUUUACUGUGCACAGGCGAAAAUUUAUAUAUUUUUAUUUUUAUAAAGUUGGGAAAAACCGAUCAUUGAAGCAUCGUACUCCCUUUACUGUCUCUUAAUACAGUAACCCACAAAGUUGAAGAGAUUGACUCACUAUUUGGACGUGAUUGGUACCAUUCUUACUCUUUCUUUAUACGGUUGAUUAAUUAACAUUUAUUUAUUAUUUUGUGAAUAAUAUUUGUUGUGUAAUUUUUUAUUAAUAAAUGGAAUUUUUUUAAUAUUGAUGAAGUUGUUCUUUUAUAUAAUUAUUUGUUGUUUGUAUCAUGUUGAUACAUUGUAUUUCUUGUUUGGCUAAAUAAUUGUUAGACUUGGUUGUUUGGAUUAAAAUUUGUUGUUUAUUUUGUGUUUAUGUGAGUAUUUCUUGUUUUCUUUUGUUUAAUGUUUAUUACUCACAAUUUUAGUAGUACACUAUUUAAAUCUAUUAUGUAAUACUCAGAUUUUAUAAACCCUAAAGUAAUUAGAAAUAUCCCAUUACUAUUCAUUUAAUACAUGAGUAUUGAUGAUGGCUACUGACAAUUUUAGUAGUACACUAUUUCAAUCUAUUAUGCAAUACUCAGAUUUUAUGAACCCUAAAGUAGUUAGAAAUAUACCAAUUUUUGGAAAAUUUUUUUAUAUUGAUUUUUUGUAACACUAACUUUGUUAUUCAUUUAGAUGAUGGCUACUGAGGGAGUGCAACUGGUAUUCCGAUAUGGGGGGUCAUUUGAGACGAAUGCAGAUGAUGGACGUAUUAUUUAUAAAGGAUGAAAAUUGAAGGUCACCAAGUAUAAUGGGAAUAGUUCCUUGGAGGAACUAAAAAGUCAUUUUGCAAAUUUAACCAAGUAUAAUCCAAGCAAAUUAGCUAUUAUGUACCACAAUAUAAGUCUAUCUAGUGGGCUUAAUUUUGUUGAUGUUAGUGAUGAUAUAGAUGUAUCUUUUAUGUUGGGAGGGGAAUCUUCUAGAAUUGUAGUAUAUAUUACCGAGACAGCAAGAAUCUGUUGCUAAGGGCCCAUCUUCAAGGAAUAGGUAUAUCUACAAUUUAUUUUUCAUCUGUAAAUUGCUUUAUUUUAAUCUUAUAUGUAUAGAAAUUGUUGCUUCAUCUUACACUGUAUCUUUUGUCAACAGUCGGUGUAACGCUUUACCUGAUCAAAACAUUGGAUUGGUGCUCAACCCUAAGCUCGUAGCAGAGCGUGAUAUGAAGGACAUUGAACCACUAGAGAGUCCAUAUAGAGGAGUUGGUAAGGAGGUUCAAUUAAGUGUUGGGCAAUUUUUUGAAAAUGUUAAUGAAUGUCGACAUCAUCUACUUGAUUUUGCAAUCCACAACAAUUUUAUUUUGAAGUUUGACAAAAGUGAAUUAGGACGGGUGUGGGCAACUUGCAAGGCAGAUGGAUGCACAUGGCAAAUGCGGUGCUUACGAAUUGGCAGCACCGCAUACUUAAAGUGAAGUCUAUGGUUAAGGAGCACACAUGUAGUGGUUCAAUGAGGAGGGUCCAUCAGCCACUAUCUCGUAGUGAUUGGGUGGAAAAAAAGAUUAAAGGCUGCCUUCUUGACCGACCAAAAAUUAAAGCAAAAGACAUUAUAAAAGAUGUUCAACAUGAUCAUAGGGUCAAGCUUUCCUACAUGUAAGCUUGGCGGGGAAAAGAGGUUGCUAGAGAGAUGAUAGAUGGAUCACAUGAACAACAAUACCAUGACCUCCCCUUGUAUAUUGAGAAGAUCAGAAGAACCAACUCGGGAACCGAAGUUCGCAUUCACACAAAUGAAGGCAUGCUCAAAUGACUAUUUAUUGCCUAUCGUCCAUGCAUUAUGGGGUUUUUUAAUGGAUGCAGGCCACUAAUUAGUAUUGAUGGAACCUUCCUAAAAAAGAAGUAUCAAGACAUUUUAGUAUGCGUCAUCGCACUAGAUGCAAAUAAUGGGCUAUUCCCAUUGGCAUUUGCAGUGAUUGAGAAGGAGAAUUACUAGAAUUGAUAUUGGUUCUUAAGUAUAUUGAGUGAGCUAUUGAAUAGGUACCCUAAUCUGCUUACCUUAGCCAUUAUGUCAGAUAGACAGAAAAGCCUACCAGAAGCAAUAGAAAAAUGUUUUCCAACAUGUUUUCCAUCAUUUUGCAUGUGACAUAUGGGAGAGAACUUCAAGGGCUUUAUGAAGAGGUCAGCAAAUACUGAAGUAUUGUUGAUGUUGUUUUGGAAGGCUGCUUGUAAAGCGACCAUUGCUGGGUUUGAAAAAAUAAUGUUUGAUAUACAAUGUGCCGACCCAGAAGCAUAUGAUUGGAUUACGAAUAUUGGGCAGAUGCUUAUUUCUCAGGGUCUAGAUACAAUCAUCUUACCUCAAACAUGGCCGAGUCUUUCAAUGCUUGGAUUUUAUCGGCUCGAGAGAAGUCAAUCAUUACAAUGUGUGACGAAAUAAUGGUACAGUUGAUGACCAAGUUUGAAGAGAAGAGGGAGUUAGGUAAUACUUGUAGCUACAUGCUAGUACCGAAUGCUUAAGAAUUACUUGACACGCGAAAGAUGAAGGCUCGAUUUUUACACACAUUUAUAUUCGUCAUAGACACGCAGUUUAAGAUCCACUAUCUUGAGAAGAAGUACGCUGUUGAUUUAACGCAUUGGACAUGCAGUUGUAUAAAAUUGCAACUCAAUGGCAUUCCGUGUGUCCAUGCUAUUGCGGCCAUUAACCAUAUGCAUUUGGAUCUCCCUGUGUACUGCUCUAAGUAUUUUACAGUAGAAUACUUUAGAAGGGCAUUUGAAACUCCCUUUGCGCCUGUCCCGGAUGAUAUUGAGUUGACAGGUAUUUACAACAGGACAUUGUUGCCACCAAAGACUACACACCUUCCCGAUAGGCCAAAAAAGCAAUAAAGGAUAUCCGAGACGGAACAUCCGAUCACCAGGCCUUUGAAGUGCAAACGAUGCGGUGCAGAGGGUCAUAAUAGGAGGACAUGUAGAUAACCGAUAGAGUGAACUUGAUGUUAAUAUUGUAUUCUUGUAUGGAAUUAUGAUUUUCAUGAAUUAAUGAAUUGAGUGAAUAUUGUGUUUUUGUUGUCAAACUUGUGUCAGUGCAAUUGGAAUUCGUACUUGUCAUAAAUGUUAUAAUGGAGAAGUUACAACCCCUUCUGAAACUAUUAUGAGUUUGCCAAUCGUUGUUGUCAUGUCCAUGCAUCACUCUCAUGUCCAUGCAUCAAACUUUGAAGUCCAUUUUCUUAUCAUGUUAAUGCAUCAUGAUGAUGUCCAUAUGAUCAAUCUAAUGUCUAAACAACUUUCGGAUGUUGAACAUCCGAAAAUGUUAUAUUUCGAAUGUUGAACAUCCGAAACUGUCACAUUUUGACAAGGAAAUUUUUUCAGAUGUUGAACAUUUGAAAAUGACAUAUUUUCAUAUGUUUAACAUCUGAAAAUGACACUGUCAAAAUCCAAGAAGUUCUGGAUUUUGGCAGUCAGUUUUCGGAUGUUCAACAUCCAAAAAUUCAAGGAAAUUUUUUCUGAUGUUGAACAUCCGAAAAUGGCACUGUCAAAAUCCAAGAAGUUCUAGAUUUUGGCAGUCAGUUUUCGGAUGUUGAACAUCAAAAAAUGUGACGACGUUCAAUAUCCGAAAAUGGACCGCCAAAAUCCAUAACUUCUUGGAUUUUGAUAGUCAAUUUUUGGAUGUGUAACAUCCGAAAAUAUGUCAGUUUUAGAUGUUCAACAUCCGAAAAUAUGACAUUUCAGAUGUUGAACAUCCAAAAACUAACUGUCGAAAUCCAGAACUUCCUGGAUUUUGACAGUGUCAUUUUCGGGUGUUGGANNNNNNNNNNNNNNNNNNNNNNNNNNNNNNNNNNNNNNNNNNNNNNNNNNNNNNNNNNNNNNNNNNNNNNNNNNNNNNNNNNNNNNNNNNNNNNNNNNNNNNNNNNNNNNNNNNNNNNNNNNNNNNNNNNNNNNNNNNNNNNNNNNNNNNNNNNNNNNNNNNNNNNNNNNNNNNNNNNNNNNNNNNNNNNNNNNNNNNNNNNNNNNNNNNNNNNNNNNNNNNNNNNNNNNNNNNNNNNNNNNNNNNNNNNNNNNNNNNNNNNNNNNNNNNNNNNNNNNNNNNNNNNNNNNNNNNNNNNNNNNNNNNNNNNNNNNNNNNNNNNNNNNNNNNNNNNNNNNNNNNNNNNNNNNNNNNNNNNNNNNNNNNNNNNNNNNNNNNNNNNNNNNNNNNNNNNNNNNNNNNNNNNNNNNNNNNNNNNNNNNNNNNNNNNNNNNNNNNNNNNNNNNNNNNNNNNNNNNNNNNNNNNNNNNNNNNNNNNNNNNNNNNNNNNNNNNNNNNNNNNNNNNNNNNNNNNNNNNNNNNNNNNNNNNNNNNNNNNNNNNNNNNNNNNNNNNNNNNNNNNNNNNNNNNNNNNNNNNNNNNNNNNNNNNNNNNNNNNNNNNNNNNNNNNNNNNNNNNNNNNNNNNNNNNNNNNNNNNNNNNNNNNNNNNNNNNNNNNNNNNNNNNNNNNNNNNNNNNNNNNNNNNNNNNNNNNNNNNNNCGACUGGAUCUCCUUUCUCUUAGAUCAGCUCGAAAGCCUCUCGGCCUUCUCGACAUGAUCUGCACCUCACUCCAUUUCUCUAAUCACACUACACUUGAUUCUUUCACACAUUUGGUGUGUGUAUAUAUAUAUAUACACACCACACACACACACACACACAUGGCAAGGCUUAAAGACUAGCAACGAGUUCUUAAAAAAAACACAAACUUAACAAAGUAGAAAGACCAAAUUGUACUUAACAAAAUUCAUUGAACAAAUACGGUGGGUCAAAAAGACCAAUACAUUACAUCGCUCAAAAUAAACAAAUUAAUUGUUCCAAAACAUUCAAAAUGAAGGUAUGAACAAAAUUACAAGGGUCAAGACCCCAUUACACUGGUCGCCUUCUCUUAGGUCGAUAUUGUUUCUUUCUUGUGUUAUAUCCUCUGGGCUCCUCAACUGCUGAUUGUGUGGAUGGAGCUAGGUCUUCUACAACCCGACUACUUUCUCCCACUCCAUCAUGUUCGGCCUCGUCAAGUACACAUUUGUCUUGAUAUUAACGCUGUAAACUUGUCAUCCUGGCUUCUAUGUCAUCCAUAUCAAUAGGCACAAACUUAGACAAUGUGUCAAACGCGUUGUUAACGUGAUUAUAAUCUUUCGGAUACCACUUCUGUCUAAGUGUAAGUGGCUCUACUAACAUGACUGUAGAUACCUGAACUGCACUAACAUGUACAAACAAGAUUACCUAAUUAGUAUAUUUAAACAAUUUCAUAGAACAAAUAGGUAAAUAUAAUACUAUAAGAAUUUGUAGGUCAAUAUAAACAUACCAACUGGUCCUCAUAACCUUGAGGUCUCAUUAUAUACUGUGGUUCAUGACCAGGAACCACAUCUUCUGCUUCUUCGUCUUGGUUAUGAGGUUGCAAUAUGUCUUUGGGUGAGUUAGCGACAUUAUGUAUUAGAGGAUGAGACACUAGGUUGUACCAAGCCUUGUACUCCUGUGAGGGCAACCCAUUAUCUGUAUCUACUUGAAUAUUAGGCAUCAUGCAUUCAUGACGAGACAACUAGUGGUGGAUUUAUCUGCAUUCGGAUUUCGCCAAUCUCAGUGUUCACAUUGUCUGCUAACCCUCUUACCAACAACCAAGGGAUUUUAAGGAAUGCUAUGUUAGCUCCAAAUUGCCGACGUACUCGAUCUGGCAUGUACGGCUUGGCAAUAUUGUCACAAAUAAGUGUCGUUAUGCACAUUGCAGUUUCAAAUGCCUCCCGCCUGUCAUCUGAAAUGACCUCAUCAAGCUUGAAAUAGGGAUUUCAUAUUUACCUAUUAUAUGAUAUACAAUCAGUCAAUAAAAAUAAUUACAAAUGAUUAACUACAUUUGAAAGUAAUAAAUAUCAAAUUAUACACUAACCUCAUUAGGUUCGAGGUUAUCAAUUUCUUGUCUGAUGGGAGGCAUUAGGUUAUGUGGAUUGCCAUGAUAUUUCUUCGGGGGCUUCCAUCUUUUGGCCCUAGGUAAAUUUGGAGAGAUAUUAUGCGGUAUGGGCUUCAUAUGCGUAAUAUGCUCAUAUGAGCAGCACUGCAAUAAAUUCAGCUACAAAGAUUAUUUAAUAUUUAAUAAAUUCAGCAACGCUUAUUUCAUAUACCAAAAAAAAAAGGUUACCUACAUUAGAGUGGUUGAACCACUAAAAUGUCUUUGCUUGAAGGUACAAGCCUUUCCCAGUGAGUGAUAAAUGAAUGCAAGGGUUGCAGCACCCCAAGCAUAUUUGCUGGCUCCCUCCAUAUCUUCAAAAAACUACAAGUACCUUGUUGGUACUAUUGAAACUGAUGCAUCAAAGAAUAUGGUGGCACUGAUGAGGAAGAGCAGAUAUGCUCGAGUAUAUCUAUAAACUUGAAUAGGGGUUGCAUCAGGUGGCAAUUCUCUAAAAUUCGCCUUCAACCAUGUAUGCCUCAAGCUUGUUAGGUUGCCAUCAAAGAAUAUACCCAAAUUGUCUUCUAUAUACUGUUGCAGGUCACUGAUAGGACGACAUGUAAUUGGCUUGCCAUCCACAACCAAUCCUAAUAUCUCAUAUACAUCAAAUAACGUUAGUGUCAUCUCACCAAUAUGAAUGUUGAAAUGAAAUGUGUUUGUCUCAGAACGCCACCUCUUUACAUUAGUUGUGACUAGAGGAUAAUCAAUUCGAUCUGGUCGAAUGAUAUUUAAGGGACCCAACCCAGACGCAUUAACUAAUUCAACUUGCUCUUCUGUUAAUUUCCAUUCGUUUAAUUGAAAACUCUUCAUUUCUUCUUUCUCUUGAAAUACAACAAAUAGACAACAUAUUAGUCCGAAUACAUAUAGAUGUACUUCUCAUAGAAUGUUUGAACCUGAGUACAAUUUAUUGAUGAAUAUAUGCAUAUACAUGUCCUUCCCAUAUAAAAUAUGAUGCAUGUCCUGGAUGAGGUUGCAGCAAACUAGGGUCCUGAUGACCUCCUAGAUAUCCUCCUUCGGGAUGUAAACCAUUCAUAUUCACUGAAGUCACAUAUGGUGACCAUGUUAAUAUAAGGUUACAUAUACAGAAAUUUACUGGAUAACAAAUGAACAAACAACUUGGGAAAGUCUCUAGUUGGCCCAGGCCAACUUGGGAAAGUCUCUAGUUGGCCCAGUGGUUUUCUAAUUACAGGUAAUUAAAGAUUUGUUCUGUCCAAAAUUCAUUAUAUCCAACCACCCAAAAACAACCACCCAUUGGUAAAAUAUCACUCAGAAUGCAUAUUUCUAACACUACAAAUUGCAUAUAUCAGGUUAACCAGUUUUAACCGUUCAAUUUCAUAUAUUCAAAAGGGAGCAAUAAGCAUUCAAUAGAAGACACAAAUUUCACAAGAAGAACAAUAAGCAUUAAAAAAACACACAAAUUUCACCAACACAAAUCUUCAGUAAUUGGGCAACCAUAUAUUUCAUAAAAUUGAUAUAAUUGAUCAAAUGCAACUAAAAGAGACUAAUAUUAUAUAAAAAAAAGUGAAUAAACAAUUAAGAAAUUCACACCCAACAAUAAAAAUGAUGCAGAGAAUAGUCAAACUGAUGUAUUUUUAGGGAUGCAUCAUAUACCGAGCAACUUCUAUACUGAUGUAUUUUUAGGGAUGCAUCAUAUACUGAAUAAAAUCUAUACUGAUGUAUUUUUAGAGAUUGAGUAAGAAAUUCACUCCCAACAGUAAGAAAUUGAGUAACUUCUAUAGUAAUGUAUUUUUAGGGAUGCAUCAUAUACACAACAAAACCUAGUAAAAAAUAAAAUAACCAAUAGUAAAAAUAAAACCACCAAAUGAUGCAGAGAAUAGUCAAAAUAAAACCACCAAAAUGUAACUUAUAUACUGAUGUAUUUUUAGGGAUUCAUCAUAUAAUUGAUCAAAUGCAACUAAAAGAGACUAAUAUUAUAUAAAAAAAGUGAAUAAACAAUUAAGAAAUUCACACCCAACAGUAAAAAUGAUGCAGAGAAUAGUCAAACUGAUGUAUUUUUAGGGAUGCAUCGUAUACCGAGUAACUUCUAUAUUGAUGUAUUUUUAGGGAUGCAUCAUAUACUGAGUAAAAUCUAUACUGAUGUAUUUUUAGGGAUUGAGUAAGAAAUUCACUCCCAACAGUAAGAAAUUGAGUAACUUCUAUAGUAAUGUAUUUUUAGGGAUGCAUCAUAUACACAACAAAACCUAGUAAAAAAUAAAAUAACCAAUAGUAAAAAUAAAACCACCAAAUGAUGCAGAGAAUAGUCAAAUUAAAACCACCAAAUGAUGCAGAGAAUAGUCAAAAUAAAACCACCAAAAUGUAACUUAUAUACUGAUGUAUUUUUAGGGAUUCAUCAUAUAAUUGAUCAAAUGCAACUAAAAGAGACUAAUAUUAUAUAAAAAAAGUGAAUAAACAAUUAAGAAAUUCACACCCAACAGUAAAAAUGAUGCAGAGAAUAGUCAAAUUGAUGUAUUUUUAGGGAUGCAUCAUAUACCGAGUAACUUCUAUACUGAUGUAUUUUUAGGGAUGCAUCAUAUACUGAGUAAAAUCUAUAUUGAUGUAUUUUUAGGGAUUGAGUAAGAAAUUCACUCCCAACAGUAAGAAAUUGAGUAACUUCUAUAGUAAUGUAUUUUUAGGGAUGCAUCAUAUACACAACAAAACCUAGUAAAAAAUAAAAUAACCAAUAGUAAAAAUAAAACCACCAAAUGAUAUAGAGAAUAGUCAAAAUAAAACCACCAAAAUGUAACUUAUAUACUGAUGUAUUUUUAGGUAUUCAUCAUAUACACAACAAAACCUAGUAAAAAAUAAAAAAACCAAUAGUAAAAAUAAAACCAUCAAAAUAAUGCAGAGAAUCGUAAAAAUAAAACCACCAAAUAUCUAUACUGAUGUAUUUUUGGACCAUUAGAUGCAUAUAAUCAUUAGGACCAAUAGACGCAGAGUAGAGCACAAUGAUUUAUUUGAAAUAAAAAUAAUAAUGAAAAACAAGCAAAAAAAUAAAAAACCUUACCUUGUUGAAUAAGAUGAAGGAGGUUGAAGACUUCGAAACAGUAGCGACGGUAGAUUUUGAAGAUGAUGCGAGGUUUACAGUAGCAGCAAGGGUUUUCAGAUGUGCAGCUAGGGUUUUUUGGAAAACCUCGCUAACAGUAGCGAGGUUUUUUUUCUUUUGCCUCGCUAACAUUUUCGGAUGUUCAACAUCCGAAUUUCUGAUAUUUUCGGAUGUUGAACAUCCGAAAAUGGGAAAAAGCAUCGUUUGACCUGCGGCUAAAUUCGGAUAUUCAACAUCUGAAAAUAUGAGAAAUUCGGAUGUUGAAUAUCAUAAAAUGGGCAAAGUUGUCUUUUUUAAAAAAUAGCAUUAUGAAAGAUAAAAAACGGACAGUUGUGUAAUAACAGAAACUAUUGGUGUAACCGUAAUAACGUAAACUAUAAAGGAUUUCAACAUAAUUUUUUCACUAAUUUAUAUAUUAUAAUAUUAAUAGUAUCGUCAUCAUCAUCAUCAUCAUCAUCAUCAUUCAAGCUUUAUCUCAAGUAUUUGGGUUGGCUACAUCAAUCAUGUUCUUCCAUUCUUCUCUACAUAUAACAUAGGUUUAGGAUGUAUGAUAAGAUGUAGCAAAGUUUUAUGUUGGCUGCCGACUUAAUAAUAUAUUUAAUAUUAUAAAUAUUAUAAUAUAUAAUAUAAUGCAACCUUAAACAAUCCAAUUAAGGAGCACCUCCAAAUUUUAUCAUAACAUGUAAUUUGGGUUUACAAAAUUCUUAGGAUUAUCUGAAAAUUUUAUUUUUCUAUCUAAUUAUAAAAUUUUAAACUCAAAAAAUAGUUAAAAUCAAGUAGAUCUAUAAACAUAUGAAAAUCUUAAAAAUGAACGGUCUAGAUAAUAUGUUGCAAAAUGCACUAUUUAUGAUACUCAAAAUCUUUUUUUUUUUUUUUUCAUAUUCAUAUAUCUCGAUGUUCAAAUAAUCAAUUAGAGGGGUUUUCAACAUUAAAAUAACCUUUUUCGAUGGAUUUUUGAGGUGCAUCUUCAAUUCUACAUUUUAAGGUUGCAAUGUUAUAUAAACUUUUUUCUUUUAUUAUUAUAUAAUAUUACAUAUAAUAAUAGUAUAUUUAUAGUAAUUGUAUAUUAUAAUUAUAAUUAAUUAUGUAGUACUACAUAUAAGUCAUUUAUAUAUUAUUUAUUAUAAUAUAUAUUAUAAUAUUAUAUUAUUAUCGACAAUCCAAACAGCGUGCAGAUAUCUUCCAGUUUCUUACUGGAUACUAUCCAACACAUUUUUUUUUUUUGGGUAAGUGGGGAGAGGACCCAAAUACUAUCCAACACCGUUUUUUGUUUUGGGUGAGUAAGUGGGGAGAGGGUCCAAAUACUAUCCAAUACCUUUUUUUUUUUGGGUGAGUAAGUGGGGAGAGGGCCCUUUACCAUUGGUAGGAAUUGAGCCUAGGACGUAGCAUUGCAAAUCGUCCAGUGCUAACCAAUUAAGCCCGAGUUCUUUUUCCAAAUGUUAUUUAUUAUAAUAUUAUAUUAUUAUUGGCAAUCCAAACAAUGUGCAGAUAUCCUCUAGUCUCUUACCAAAUACUAUCCAAACAGCAAGUACACCUUUUUUUUUGGAGUAAGUGGGGAGAGGGCCCUACCUUCGGUAGGAAUUGAGCCUAGAACGUACCAUUGCAAAUCGUCAAGCGCUAACCAAUUAAGCUUGGGCUCUUUUCCCAAAAGUGUUAAGUCAAUGAGGAUUUGGGCUUCUACUCUUUGGUGAGGAUAGAGUUAGAGACCUCAUCAUCGGGAUAGGCAAUACUACCGCCAAGGCCCAUGUUAUUCUCCAAACAAUAGACACCUACAUUCUAGAAGAUUCCAAUUCCAAGAAAGGUAUCUCCCAAGCAUACCUAUUUCCAGGGAACCAAAUUAGACAUAAAUGAAGGUAAAUGACUAAUAAUAAUUAGAGUGGAUUGCGAGGAGUGAACCUUAAAAAUAAAAAAGAAAAAUACGAAUCCCCGUCAUUUAAAGGAGUUAAAAUUAGACUAAAGAAUAGAAAACAAAUAAUUUCUCAUGUGCCAAUAACCCAAGAGUCACAAAAAGCAACAAGAUAAGAAAGAAGAUGAUGAUAAGUAAGAAUAAGAUAUAAAUCAAUGUAGUCCCUUGGCCAAUGGGAAGCCCAUAUCCAUGGUUAUCCAAAGGGGUCAUGUCUUUGUCACCUUUCUUGGUGCGCGGGUUCACUUAACAUUGUGGUACAUUCGGAGGACAUUUAUCGUUGGGCAAGGUUCCAUCCAUCUCCAUGAGUGCGAAAUGAGGUGGGUCCAUGUUAUGCAUGUGUGACUUAGAAAGGAGGAAGCAAGAUUAAGGACCAUGUCGUUUGAAGUGGUUCCAUGUUAUGGAUACGUGUGGAUGGAAAGAAGAUAUUGCAUAUUUAAUAUUGCCCAAUUGUAAUUGUUAUAUUUAUCUCAAUUGAAUUUAUAAUUUUUUAAAAAUAUAUUAUCACGUAAAUUAUACUUCUUAUAUUUAUUAUAGAUUUGUAAAAAAAUUAUUUAUUAUGGACUUGUAUGAAGUUUUAAAUAAUAAUAAGUUUUGUGUGCAAUUCUUUUUGUAAUCAUAAUAUUUAUUUCAAUAGAAUGCAUAUUUUGUUUAAAAGGUAAAAUCUUGUAAAUUGUAAUUCUUAUAUUUAUUAAAAUAGAAUGUGUAAAACUUUAAAUAUUAGUGAUUCACACUUGUAAUUGUUAUAUUUAUUCCAAGAGAAUAUAUAUAGUUUCUUUAAAAACAAUUAUUAUCUUGUAAAUUGUAAUUGAUAUAUUGAGAGUAAUAGAAUGUAAGAAAUUUUUUAGAAAAUUAUUAUCUGGUAAUUGUAAUUGUUAUAUUUAUUGAAAUAGAAUGUAUAAAUUUUUAAACAAGAAUAACUCUUUUUUAACUAUAAUAUUCAUUCAAGAAGAUGUAAAUUUUUCUAAACUAUAAGAAAUAAAAUAAAUAAAUCAGACAAAAAUAAAAGUUUAAGAGAUUAUACCCUCUCUCAAGAUCUAUAAGAGAGGCCACUCCAAAAAAAUCUCUUCACAAGAUCCAAAGUAAGCUAUUUCUCUCGUUUGUAUCUUUUCUUUUAAUAUGUGAGCUGUCCUUCGAUAUUGAGUCUACACUAACGCAUGUGGCUUAAAACAUGGGGCUUUUCUUUAGGAGAGCAUCCCAAUUGCUUCUUCAUAGAAAAACACCCUCCAAUUGUUGCAUAAAAAGCAAGCCCUAAAAAAUAAAUUCACUACAUGAAUGAGACCUACUUUCCCAUGACCACAGUGGAUUGCCCAUUUUCUUAGAUUUUUACUACAGAAGCAUGGGGCUUUUCUUUUGUGGGAUUAUCUAUGCAGAAACUUCUCUCUCAAUCUUCCCCACUAAAUUUAAACUCUCUUAAUGUUUCCAAAUUCUUCCAAGCUUUUCUUCCUUAAAUUAUAUUUUGUUCCCCAAUUCUUUUUUACUCAAACCUUCGUCCUUUCUAUUUCUAUCCCAAGAAUAGGAAAAUGUUUUUUCAGAGCCCCAUCAGUGUGCAAUACAAUUUCAAGAGAUGCCCUUGCAUUUUACUUUAUCACAUUGUUUGAAUGGGUUUCAUACUCUUCUUGUUUUUAUACCCAAUAUGCUCUCAAAACGACCUAGACCACACAAAUUAUUGAGUUUUGGGGGAAUACCUAUAGCAUAGGCCUGCCAAUCACACACCCUCAAGACUAAGACUAAGGAUUGGGCUCAUGCGAAUAUCUAGCACAUAAAUAUGGCCGAUGGCUUUGGUAGACCAUCCCUCUAUAGCUCAAUCCAUAUACACAAACUUGUAUAUUUCCAUAAGGUCCACAUCCCCAUGCUUAAACUAUUUAAAUUCUAUAUAUAACUCCAUAAGUACAUAUCCAUAAUUAUAUAUAUAUAUAUAAAUAAAAGUAAUGAUCCUAUGCGACCCUCCCACACCUAUAUAUAUAGGAUAUAUAUAUAUAAAAAAAAGUAAUGAUCCUAUGAGACCCUCCCGCACCCAUAUAUGUAAGACUCUAAAGGAUUACUAUCAAAUUUAACACAAAUAUCUAAAAAAGUCAAGUCUCACAUGUCAUAACUUUUUUAGAGUUCUAUACCAAAUUUAAUGGUGAUCUUUUGGGAUCCGACACACGAAUGUGGAAAGAUCUCCUAAGAUCAUUACUAUAUAUAUAUAAACACGUGCGCACAUACACACGCGAAAAUAACUUUCAAGUAACCUUUGAAUGAUAACUUUCGUAUAACCUAGAAGGGUAGUAACCAAAUAUUCUUUUUAGGAACAUGUGUCCAUUCCCUAAGUUCGACCAAAUGAGAACAAAUGGUUACUAUUAAAAAUAUCAUCAAAUAUCUCUCACCCCAUUAUCGCAUAAUUAAUAAAGACAAGCCUCAAGUAAUUGUCCGCUAUCAAUAGCAAACUAAAUCGCUAUCAAUAGCAGCAACGAAGCAAGAAGAAAAGGCAGGGUAGGAGAGAGCUGGAAAGCAAAGGCAGAAAUAGUAGCAAAAUAGAGAGUGAAGUAAGAAGAAUUAGAGAAAAGAAUGCUAGAGAUCUCGGAGCUCUUUAAGAGAAGAUAAAAUAUCCGUUCACAUAUAGGCAAGCCAUUAUCGAUACAUCACCAAUUGAUUCUCUUCUCUUAAAACAGUUGUUAUUAGCCUAUUUUAACAGCUAUUUCACUCCUCUGAGGAUGGAUAUAAUUAACAGGGUGCCUGCUGGAACCCGGCGACUAUAUUACUCGAAAUUAAAAAAAAAAGAAAAAGCCCUUUAUCAAGGUGUUGUUUGUUUUGUUCAAAAGCUUGUACUAUCCAUCUCUAUUAUAUGUAUGUGUUUGACACUUAUUCUAAUCAUGCUUCGAAGGAAGCCAAACACUUGACGACUACACUGGAGAAUAGUCCUCUCUCCUUUUUAGUUUCGAAAAGCGCGAAAAUGUCCUUGUUAUCUCUCUCUCUCCUCAAGACCGCAUAGUCUUGACAUAUCAACAAUGAAUACGAUUGCGGUCAGUAUUUCCAUCUCCUCUUUUAUAAUUUAGACUAUUAAGGUCUUCGUAUUAGUAGGUAGGAAAUCCCCUAUACGUAUCAAGGCAAAUCUUCUCUAUACUGCUGGAAAAGAUAUCCCUUAUGCCUAUCCCAAUUUUUUUUGUUUUUUGUUUUUUAAAUUAUUUAGUGGGGAAGGCAGACCCUACCCAUUUUUUCAAAUAGAUUAGAAGUUAGUUUCUUGAAAGUAGGCCCCUACCCGUUUUUUCAAAUAGAUUAUAAGUUAGCUUUUUGAAGACAUAAGUGGAGUAGUAUCAGUGGUUAGAUAGUGAGUAAGACGUGGGGUGUUGCCUCCAAGACCCUAGCCUCUUUCUCAAAAGUGGUAAGUAAGUGGGGAUUUAGGCCUUUUUAUGAGAAUGGAGUUAGACCUCACCAUGGGGCUCAACAAUACUACUGUCAAGGCCCAAGUCAUUUUUGUGUAUCCCAAUUUCUCAACAAACACCACAAACACGCUACUCUUCAGCCAUGCUAAGAAGAAUCUUCAUAAAUUUCAAGACCGCAAAUUUAGAGAAGCAACACAUCAACGCCCAUGGUUAUCUAGUUCAUCUUCUCUCUUAGAAUGUAGACAGAGUGAAACUAGAGGGGCUCCCCGUUUUUGCAAGAACGUUUUGGUUGGCCAUCACUCAGAUUAUUGUACUUCCCAAACCAACGAUUUGGUACUUUUUAUGGAAUUCUCUAUCAUAUAGAUAAUAAAAAGUUAUCGUUCAAAAAAAAAAAAGAAAAAGAAAAAACGUUUACAUAAGGUUGCAACUUUAAAUGGUAUAAUUAAAGUGCACUUCAUAAAUCCAUUGAAAAAAGUUGUUUUGGUGCUCUAAUUGAUCAACACGACAUCAAGACCUAUGGAUAUGAAAAAGAGAAGGAUUUUGAAUGCGAAAAAUAAUACAUCUUGCUACACAUUAUCUAGACUGUGCAUUUUCAAUAUUUUCAUGUGUUUAUAGAUCUUCUUGAUUUGAGUCAUUUUUGGAGUUUAAAAAAUUUAUAAUUAGAGAUGAAAAUAGGCUCUCAAGCCAUCCUAACAAUUUGUUGACACUAAAAUUAUAUGUUAUGAUAAAAUUUAGAUGUGCUCCUUAUUUUGAUUGUUUAAAGUUGCAACCUUAUUAUACAAACUACGCCCUGUAGAUAAUAUUCCAAUAUCAAUAAGUUCAAUUGAAGUUACAUUCAACGGUUACCAUGUUCAUAAAUUUAGCAGGUUUCAUUUCUUGUUUGCAAUUUGUUCCAAAGCACUUGUUUACUUAGCUUUUUUUUAUAACGGGUUGGAGCCGUGACAAUAGUAUUAUUAUUGCCUCAGCUAAAGUCUAGGCUUCCAUUCUUACCUAAUGCAUUAAAAAACUACUAAUGAUUUAAAAAACUGGUAGGGGCUCAUCAUCCCUGCUGCAUUACCCAAAAUAAAAAAAAGACUUGUGUAAUUCAUGUUUGAGAAGGCAAAUGAUAGCAAAGUCGUAGAAAAUUCAUAGGCUGUUGAAAGGCAAUAGAUUAUCUUAUCAUCAAGACCUUUCAAUUUUGAACCCUGCUGUCACGUCCCAAAAUUAAUUGUUGAUCCAACUGUUAUUAUGAGAUUUAGACUCUUGUUUUUGUGUAGUUGUAAUGUUUCUUCUGUUUGCAGCGUAUACCUCCAACAAAAUAAAGAUUUACAGCUCUUUACAAGCAAUAAAUGUAAACAAUAUUUGUCUCUUCGGAGAAAGCCAACAUACUGUAAUUUGCAUGUACCUACUGGCAGGUCAAAUUCACCAGCUUCUUUUCCAAAGUUAAAAUACAAAUACUACUGUUAUAUAGACAUGAGCAACGUAAUUGUCACAUAAGCUUCCAUUCUUACAAGCAAUUUGUUUUGUUCCUUUGUAGGAGUUGGUGUAGAUACGGACUGUUGCGCCAUUAAUUUAUCUGUUGGUAAAAGCACUUCUCUUCAGUAAAAUAUCUGAGGAUAUUAUGUAAAAGGUGAGGUUUGUGUAAGGUGCCCAACUUAUACUGCACAAAUAAGGCACACCUCUAAAUUUUGCCGGAAGAUGUAGUUCCUAUAGGAAAUGUUAUGAUGGCUUAAAAAUCCAUGUUGAACCUAAUUAUGAAAUUGAAAAUUCCAAAAAUAUUACAAAUCGAGCAGAUCUAUAAACACUUGAAAAUCUUAAAAAUAGACAAUCCAGAUAGCUUGUUAUAAAAUGCAAUUUUUUUCAAACUUGAAAUUCUUGUCUUCUUCAUAUCUAUACAUUUCAAGAUCGAGAUUAUUAAUUGGAAGGUUUUUCAUAUUUAGAAUACUCUUUUCUACUGAAUUUUUGAAGUGCUCCUUAUUUCUACAUCUACAGUAUAAGGUCGCAACCUUAUAUAAACUUUUUCCUUGUGUAAAAGAGGAAACAAUAAUCCCCAAGUAUAGAAACACAGGAUGCUUCAAAUAGAUGGGGGGAAUUAGAAGAAUUGGCCCCAUGUCAAAGGAACAUGGUUUCUAGUUGACAUCAUUUAAAAUCUUGACCAUGCCAAAAUCUUGACCAUGCAACGUUUACCAGUGUCCAUUCAAAAUUUUGAAUAGUUUGUACUGAGCUGAUUGACCCAUCCAUUAUGUACGUCGAUAUUUAACUCACUGAAUAUUUCUUGCCAUUGAAUUUAAAUUUUAUGCUAUCACGAUUGAUGUAGAAUCCAGUAUAACACGUCACGUUCCAACAUUAGUUGCAUGGAGGAGAUAUUAUUGCCUAGUGCUCCUGUAUGAUCAAGCAAUAUGAUCGGAGACUGACUGAUUCUGCAUCUCACAUUUGUAGUAUUUGGGCAUUGUCAAUAUUUAUGAAAUGACAAACAUACUCAUCAUUCUAGAAUAUAUAUCAAAAUUGAGUUUGCUAUCGCACCAUACACUUCCUUUUUCUCAGUUUUCAGUUUCGUUUUUCUUUUUCCACUACAACGAUUUGUUUCCAGCACACGGUUUAUGUUAUUUACAGGGUACGUUAUUAAUUCCAGCAAUUGGAACUAACUUUCUUUAAGCACCUACGGAUGUACUCAAAAGAUAGUUGACAUGAACCAAAAGUUAUCACAUUUGUGAGUGGCAGGCAGCAUGUUUUAAAAUCUCUAAUUGGAUGAUGGUUUCACUCAAGGGUCCAAUUAAUAGUCUGCAAUUUGAGAGAAUGUUUUACUGAAAUUCCACAGUACUUUGGUGGAAAAAGAAAACACACAGAUGUACUUUGAAACUAUUUAGAAAUAAACCACUGACAUAGGAAACGGGAAACUGAUUAAUCAAUGAACAUCUAUAUGAGCAGUAAGAAAUAAUUUCUAAUUCAGAUCUACAAAAGAAUUUGUCCUCCCGGAAAAACUUGAAACCAAUUCUUAGUGUGUUAAAACUCACCACCCCAAUCCAACAUGCCACCUUCAUCAUCUGCAUCUUCAUCUUCAUCUUCAUCUCUUUCCUCACCUUCAAGGUUCUUUUCUUGUUCAAAGAGAUCUUGGCGAGCCCCUUCACCCUUUUUUGACUUCAAAUCAUUAAUCUCUAUGACCCCCAAGAUCUUUUCACUUAUACACGACUCAACCCUCCCUUGCUCUCCAGCCUCUGAGGGGAUCAUUCCAAGUAGUGAGGCACAGUCCCCAAUGAAAUCCUCAUCGUUGGAUGACAAUAUGAGACCUGCAAUUGCCUUUGAUAGGUCGGGCACAUAGUUUCGUAUCUGAAAUGCUCAUGACAACCAAUUCAGAGAAAUACCUAUAAUUAUGUGUGAAAUGAACCCACACAUGCACAUGCCCAUGCACAUAUGCAAGCACGCAACGGAGAACACAUGCUCAAACACACACUAGUGAAAGGCAUCGCACGCAUGUGCAGAUAGUGGAAAACUAUGUUCAAGAGAGAAUAAUAUAAAAGUAAAGACUUAAUUUGUAAUAGCAGAAAUAAUAACAGUGAAUACCAAUGGUUAAACACAAAAAUUAAACAUUAGUCUUUUUAAUGUUUUAUUUUCCCAAGAAGGUUCUAUUGUAAACAUUUUCAUCAAUUUUUGGGGUUCUUUUUCACCAACAGCUGUAGUGAGCUAUGCCGGUAAAUUAUUUUUCAGAUUUUCUUUCAGCUUAUAUCAGAGGUUUUUAAAAUGCUUUAGAGUGCAUUCCUGACUUUGCCAUGUUUGACAGUGAUUUUCAGUUAUAAAACAAAUUUCGAAGGAGUUAUCUUAAAACAUAAGUGGUUGUUUUAGGCGGGCAUAUUUGUGCUAAGUCCAUGGGGUCAUUGGUCUACCACUUCUUUGUGACUCCUUUCUUGUUGGGAAGGUCAUUCAUUAUUAUGUCCAAUAUAGGAAAUCAAAUUUAUUGUGCAUAUCUAAACAACAGUGAGACUUCUCUGGAUAUUAGGAGUUUAUGUUUAAUACAAUCAUACAACAUUAAUUAAAAUUCAUUAUAGAAUUGGCUUCUCACAAUUAAACACAAAUUUGUGGAGAAGCUUUGGAGUUUGGAGAUGUUCUUGAGCAUUACGAAUCAGCUACACAUUAAAUCUUUCACACAAUCA
This 23003-nucleotide long non-coding RNA is filed under the name Amborella trichopoda. RNAcentral describes it as "long non-coding RNA (ATRI_LNC002065)". The record is from RNAcentral. Lineage: Eukaryota; Viridiplantae; Streptophyta; Magnoliopsida; Amborellales; Amborellaceae.